This 195-nucleotide non-coding RNA is filed under the name Tepidibacillus decaturensis. Lineage: Bacteria; Bacillati; Bacillota; Bacilli; Caryophanales; Bacillaceae. The record is from RNAcentral. RNAcentral also lists the same sequence under 1 other name.
UAAAUAUCGUUGGAAAUAGGUUCCAAGUUAUGCAAUGAUAACUUGGAUUAAAAGGGAAGUCGGUGAAAAUCCGACACGGUCCCGCCACUGUAACGAGGAGUCUGUAUAAAUCAUUGCCACUGAUUGAAAAAUUGGGAAGGCCUUAUACAGACGGUGAAUCGAAGUCAGGAGACCUGCCUAUUUUCAAAACACAAA